GAGAGAUACCAAGCUUGAAAAGUUGAAGACAUUGCCAAGCUAGAAAAAGCAAGAGGAGUCAAAAUUCCAGAACAGCAUUAACCCCUUAAGGACCGGGGGGUUUUCAGGCCUGGAUCUCAGUCAUUCGGCGAUCGGACAGUGAGGAGGCAGGUUUCUCCAUAAACUUAUAUCCAGAACGCUGUCUGUAAGGUGCGGGGUGAACCGGAAGUGGUCACCGCGACACCGGAAGUGCUCACGGCAUCUGCUGCGCAGACUGCAGGCGUAUUGAACAACAUACUCACUGGGGCGCUUGCCUGACGUAUUUGGGAUGCACAUUGAGACGAGAAUUGUAAGUGGACCUGAGGAAGGCAUGAAUGCCGAAACGCGUUAUCACUAUUACAAAAAUAAAAUCAUUUGUCGUCCUGUGCUGCUCGUGUCUUGCCUCAUUG
Long non-coding RNA from Hyla sarda, 428 nucleotides. RefSeq lists it as uncharacterized. NCBI's taxonomy places the organism in Eukaryota, Metazoa, Chordata, Amphibia, Anura, Hylidae. The record is from RefSeq and is a predicted model, not a curated record. The transcript is spliced from 3 exons.